Scatophagus argus is the source of this 814-nucleotide long non-coding RNA. RefSeq lists it as uncharacterized. The record is from RefSeq and is a predicted model, not a curated record. Lineage: Eukaryota; Metazoa; Chordata; Actinopteri; Scatophagidae. The transcript is spliced from 3 exons.
AAGUCCUGAGCCGUUUGGAACCUGGAUCACAUGUGGAUGUGUGCCUGACUUGUUGUUGAUCUGUUUCAGGGGCUCACUGAGGGACUGCACAACCUGGUCUUGAGCUGUGUGAUGGACAGGAGACAAACGUCAGUACAGACAAAUCAGAAAACACAAAAUAUUUUCAUUUAAGACAACAGGAAGAGCAAAUAGACCCUGUGUUACCUCGAGAAGCUUGAGCUGAGCGCCUUCUCAGAUAAACUUUAUGACCAACAAGGGCAGAAACCAAAACCACAACACCAACAGCCAACAUCAGGUACACUAUGAGCUCCGUCUUUGACCAUCCUGGUUCACCUGCAUGAAGAGAGAGAAACAUCAGCUUUGUCUCCAGUUUUGCCCAGUGGCCACUCGCGGUACUGCAGUGAAAAUUCCUGUUUCCCCAUAGACCACUAUGAGAUAAGAGACCUCUGCAAACUGCAAACAAGGUCUGCUCUGACUUUUCUAUUACGAAUGACAUAUUCUUAUGUUUGUAAAACCUUCCUCGAGUCAAGAAAAGAAAUUUGAAACCUGUGAGGGACAAGAGACAACAGGUAACUUUGGCGUGCUGAGGGACACGUUGCUGUUGGCUCCACGAUGGGACACGUUCAAGGCAAACAUCUCUGUGGGGGACAUCAGCAGGUGAUUAGGUUCAUGUCUCUGCUGUCUGGGUGGAGCCACGAAGCACAUCAAGACAAGAAGGCAAACGACGCGAACAGAAAGAAAAAGCUCCCACCACCGGCUACGUGCUUCCAGCGGCGUCAACCGCCUCAGCGGGCGAGCUGUCACUGUCGUCCUC